UACGUAGGGUGCGAGCGUUGUCCGGAUUUAUUGGGCGUAAAGAGCGUGUAGGCGGCCUGAAAGGUCAGCUGUGAAAACUCGAGGCUCAACCUCGAGACGUCGGUUGAAACCAUCUGGCUAGAGUCCGGAAGAGGAGUGUGGAAUUCCCGGUGUAGCGGUGAAAUGCGCAGAUAUCGGGAAGAACACCCGUGGCGAAGGCGGCACUCUGGGACGGUACUGACGCUGAGACGCGAAAGCGUGGGGAGCGAACAGG
Molecule: ribosomal RNA, 253 nt
Filed under: uncultured bacterium
Lineage: Bacteria
Description: partial 16S ribosomal RNA
Rfam family: Bacterial small subunit ribosomal RNA
Source: RNAcentral